AUUGAACGCUGGCGGCAUGCCUUACACAUGCAAGUCGAACGGCAGCACGGGUGCUUGCACCUGGUGGCGAGUGGCGAACGGGUGAGUAAUACAUCGGAACAUGUCCUGUAGUGGGGGAUAGCCCGGCGAAAGCCGGAUUAAUACCGCAUACGAUCUACGGAUGAAAGCGGGGGACCUUCGGGCCUCGCGCUAUAGGGUUGGCCGAUGGCUGAUUAGCUAGUUGGUGGGGUAAAGGCCUACCAAGGCGACGAUCAGUAGCUGGUCUGAGAGGACGACCAGCCACACUGGGACUGAGACACGGCCCAGACUCCUACGGGAGGCAGCAGUGGGGAAUUUUGGACAAUGGGCGAAAGCCUGAUCCAGCAAUGCCGCGUGUGUGAAGAAGGCCUUCGGGUUGUAAAGCACUUUUGUCCGGAAAGAAAUCCUUGGCCCUAAUACGGUCAGGGGAUGACG
This 453-nucleotide ribosomal RNA is filed under the name Burkholderia cepacia. RNAcentral describes it as "bacterial SSU rRNA". It matches the Rfam family "Bacterial small subunit ribosomal RNA", at positions 30 to 474 of the family's 1533-position model. The record is from RNAcentral. Lineage: Bacteria; Pseudomonadati; Pseudomonadota; Betaproteobacteria; Burkholderiales; Burkholderiaceae.